This 253-nucleotide ribosomal RNA is filed under the name uncultured bacterium. RNAcentral describes it as "partial 16S ribosomal RNA". It matches the Rfam family "Bacterial small subunit ribosomal RNA", at positions 524 to 776 of the family's 1533-position model. The record is from RNAcentral.
UACGAAGGGGGCUAGCGUUGCUCGGAAUCACUGGGCGUAAAGGGUGCGUAGGCGGUUUGGUAAGUCUCUUGUGAAAUCUAUGGGCUCAACUCAUAGUCUGCAAGGGAAACUGCCGGGCUUGAGUGUGGGAGAGGUGAGUGGAAUUUCCGGUGUAGCGGUGAAAUGCGUAGAUAUCGGAAGGAACACCUGUGGCGAAAGCGGCUCACUGGACCACAACUGACGCUGAUGCACGAAAGCUAGGGGAGCAAACAGG